UAGGAUAGAUGGGAGCAGUUUAUCUGGGAAGAUACCUAGUUUUAUUGGGAAUUGGACCAAACUUGAUAGAUUGGAUUUGCGGGGCACAUCCUUGGAAGGCCCAAUUCCUUCUAUCAUAUCCGACUUGACAAGUUUGACAGAAUUAGAUUUGAGCUCCAACAGGCUGACUGGUCCGAUCCCAAAUUCAUUUCAAGACUUGGAAAAAUUGAAUUACUUGUAAGUGAACAUUUUUAUUCUACUUCCUACUAAUAAUUUGAUCUCAAGAAUGCUGGUUACUUUUUCUUAAUUAAUUUUCCUCAGUGAUAUAAUGAGACAUAUGUCCAUGAUGGAUGCAACUUUCUGACUAACAAUUCUCUAAGCGGACG
This is a non-coding RNA of Cajanus cajan (pigeon pea), 365 nucleotides long. Lineage: Eukaryota; Viridiplantae; Streptophyta; Magnoliopsida; Fabales; Fabaceae. The record is from RefSeq and is a predicted model, not a curated record.